GAUGAAGAACGCAGCGAAAUGCGAUAAGUAAUGUGAAUUGCAGAAUUCAGUGAAUCAUCGAAUCUUUGAACGCACAUUGCGCCCGCCAGUAUUCUGGCGGGCAUGCUUGUCUGAGCGUCAUUUCAACCCUCAUGCCCCUAGGGCGUGGUGUUGGGGAUCGGCCAAAGCCCGCGAGGGACGGCCGGCCCCUAAAUCUAGUGGCGGACCCGUCGUGGCCUCCUCUGCGAAGUAGUGAUAUUCCGCAUCGGAGAGCGAUGAGCCCCUGCCGUUAAACCCCCAACUUUCCAAGGUUGACCUCAGAUCAGGUAGGAAUACCCGCUGAACUUAAGCAUAUCAAUAAGCGGAGGA
RNAcentral lists this unclassified non-coding RNA (348 nucleotides) under soil metagenome. RNAcentral's name for it is "partial contains 5.8S ribosomal RNA, internal transcribed spacer 2, and large subunit ribosomal RNA". The stretch from base 1 to 120 matches the Rfam family "5.8S ribosomal RNA", at positions 35 to 154 of the family's 154-position model. The record is from RNAcentral.